CCUACGGGAGGCUGCAGUGGGGAAUAUUGCACAAUGGGGGGAACCCUGAUGCAGCAACGCCGCGUGGGUGAAGACGUACUUCGGUUUGUAAACCUCUGUCAGCGGGGAAGAAAAUGACGGUACCUAACGAAGAAGCCCCGGCUAACUACGUGCCAGCAGCCGCGGUUAUACGUAGGGGGCGAGCGUUUUCCGGAGUUACUGGGUGUAAAGGGAGCGUAGGCGGGAAGGGAAGUCUGAAGUUAAAUCCCACGGCUCAACCUGGGGCCUGCGUUGGAAAUUGUGUUGCUGGAGUGCAGUAGGGGUAGGCGGAAUUCCUAGUGUAGCGGUGGAAUGCGUAGAUAUCAGGAAGAACACCGAUGGCGAAGGCAGCUCACUGGGCUUCAACUGACGCUGAGGCUCGAAAGUGUGGGGAGCAAACAGGAUUAGAUACCCUUGUAGUC
This 440-nucleotide ribosomal RNA is filed under the name uncultured bacterium. RNAcentral's name for it is "partial 16S ribosomal RNA". It matches the Rfam family "Bacterial small subunit ribosomal RNA", at positions 338 to 795 of the family's 1533-position model. The record is from RNAcentral.